Molecule: ribosomal RNA, 444 nt
Filed under: uncultured bacterium
Lineage: Bacteria
Description: bacterial SSU rRNA
Rfam family: Bacterial small subunit ribosomal RNA
Source: RNAcentral
GCGGUAUGCUUUACACAUGCAAGUCGUACGAGAAUUUUUAAUUCAAGUGGCGGACGGGUGAGUAACACGUAAGAAUUUACCUUUAGGAGGGGGACAACAACUGGAAACGGUUGCUAAUACCCCAUAUGCUUUCGAGUGAAAUGGAUUUUCCGCCUAGAGAGAAGCUUGCGGCUGAUUAGCUUGUUGGUGAGGUAAUGGCUCACCAAGGCGACGAUCAGUAUCUGGUUUGAGAGGAUGAUCAGACACACUGGAACUGAGACACGGUCCAGACUCCUACGGGAGGCAGCAGUGGGGAAUUUUCCGCAAUGGGCGAAAGCCUGACGGAGCAAUACCGCGUGAGGGAUGACGGCCUAUGGGUUGUAAACCUCUUUUUUCAGGGAGGAAUAAAUGACGUGUACCUGAAGAAUAAGCAUCGGCUAACUCCGUGCCAGCAGCCGCGGUAAG